This is a non-coding RNA of Jatropha curcas, 107 nucleotides long. The record is from Rfam. NCBI's taxonomy places the organism in Eukaryota, Viridiplantae, Streptophyta, Magnoliopsida, Malpighiales, Euphorbiaceae.
AAGCUGUGACGUGGGCACUUUCUCAAUAAGUCCUUGAAUCUCUCCCAAACUUCGUAUAAACUCUCUUGGUCAUGGUGGACAAAGGUCCUUAUCUCGUUGCGUAGUUU